Non-coding RNA from Pelobates cultripes (western spadefoot toad), 598 nucleotides. Lineage: Eukaryota; Metazoa; Chordata; Amphibia; Anura; Pelobatidae. The record is from the annotation of a GenBank genome assembly.
AAAACUUGCAAAUAACUUGUGAUUGGAUAACUUGAGACAAGGUGCUACAGCUAUUAAAGAAAAUUAAUGUAAAUAAUGCUCCGGGGCCUGACGGUAUUCACCCACGAGUACUUAAGGAGCUAAGUGGGGAAAUAAGUGAACCUCUGUAUUUAAUUUUUCAAGAUUCUUUUGUUUCAGGUGUUGUACCGGAGGAUUGGAGGAAGGCAGAUGUUGUUCCUAUAUUUAAAAAGGGUUCAAAAUCCUUGCCUGGUAAUUAUAGACCUGUGAGCUUAACUUCUGUAACUGGGAAAAUAUUUGAAGGGCUAUUAAGGGAUAAUAUUUAGGAAUUCAUUGGGAAGAACUUUGUUAUUAGCAAUAAUCAGCAUGGUUUUAUGAAACAUCGGUCAUGUCAAACUAACCUAAUUGCAUUCUACGAAGAAGUAAGUAGAAGUAUAGAUCAGGGUGUUGCAGUGGAUGUGAUCUACUUGGAUUUUGCCAAUGCAUUUGAUACGGUUCCUCACAAUAGGUUAGUCUUCAAACUAAAAGAAAUUGGUCUAGAUGAAUAUUCUUGUUCUUGGGUAGAACAUUGGCUUAAGGAUAGAGUACAACGAGUUGUAAU